Molecule: long non-coding RNA, 244 nt
Filed under: Erythranthe guttata (spotted monkey flower)
Lineage: Eukaryota; Viridiplantae; Streptophyta; Magnoliopsida; Lamiales; Phrymaceae
Description: long non-coding RNA (EGUT_LNC000017)
Source: RNAcentral
GAGAGAGAGAGAGAGAGAGAGAGAGAGAGAGAGAGCAGUAGGUGAGAAAAGAAUGGAAAAAUUAAAGAGAAUGAUGAUGAUGAGAGACAGUUAAUGGUUUUGGUAGUGAUGGGGAUUGUUUUUUGCUUUGCUUGACAAUGCAGCCUAAUUCCACUUUCCUGCUAUGAAAAAUUGCUCCACUAAAAGAAAAUGGAGGCCCCCAUCUUUCAUUAUCUUCAUCACCACACCUUUCUCUCUCUCUCUC